Molecule: small nuclear RNA, 111 nt
Organism: Suricata suricatta (meerkat)
Lineage: Eukaryota; Metazoa; Chordata; Mammalia; Carnivora; Herpestidae
Gene: U5
Rfam family: U5 spliceosomal RNA
About the family: U5 RNA is a component of both types of known spliceosome. The precise function of this molecule is unknown, though it is known that the 5' loop is required for splice site selection and p220 binding, and that both the 3' stem-loop and the Sm site are important for Sm protein binding and cap methylation.
Source: Ensembl
AUACUCCGGUUUCUCCUCAGAUCGAAUAAAUCUUUCACCUUUUACUAAAGAUUUCUGUGGAAAGUUCAAGAGCAGUUAGUUGCUUGAUUCUGUGGCGCUUGGAUGCUGAGG